UAGGGAAUCUUCGGCAAUGGGGGCAACCCUGACCGAGCAACGCCGCGUGAGUGAAGAAGGUUUUCGGAUCGUAAAGCUCUGUUGUAAGUCAAGAACGAGUGUGAGAGUGGAAAGUUCACACUGUGACGGUAGCUUACCAGAAAGGGACGGCUAACUACGUGCCAGCAGCCGCGGUAAUACGUAGGUCCCGAGCGUUGUCCGGAUUUAUUGGGCGUAAAGCGAGCGCAGGCGGUUUGAUAAGUCUGAAGUUAAAGGCUGUGGCUCAACCAUAGUUCGCUUUGGAAACUGUCAAACUUGAGUGCAGAAGGGGAGAGUGGAAUUCCAUGUGUAGCGGUGAAAUGCGUAGAUAUAUGGAGGAACACCGGUGGCGAAAGCGGCUCUCUGGUCUGUAACUGACGCUGAGGCUCGAAAGCGUGGGGAGCGAACAGGAUUAGAUACCCUGGUAGUCCACGCCGUAACGAUGAGUGCUAAGUGUUGGGAGGUUUCCGCCUCUCAGUGCUGCAGCUAACGCAUUAAGCGCUCCGCCUGGGGAGUACGACCGCAAGGUU
RNAcentral lists this ribosomal RNA (548 nucleotides) under uncultured bacterium. RNAcentral's name for it is "bacterial SSU rRNA". It matches the Rfam family "Bacterial small subunit ribosomal RNA", at positions 355 to 895 of the family's 1533-position model. The record is from RNAcentral.